RNAcentral lists this long non-coding RNA (776 nucleotides) under Gallus gallus (chicken). Lineage: Eukaryota; Metazoa; Chordata; Aves; Galliformes; Phasianidae. The record is from RNAcentral.
GAAAAUCAUCAUAUUUAUGAAGGAUCUCACUCACUCAUAACUUGCUAUUAAAAUCCUUCUUUUGAAUGCUUUUCCCUCUAUACCACUGGACAUGCAAACUAGAUGAGGUCAAACUUUUAAGUUUGCUUCGAUUCUGGUAUCUGGACUUUUGUGGAUGUUUGCCUGAAUCAAGCUGUAAGUAAUUCCUGAAAAGCAUCUGACUUUGUGAAGCAUAAUGUGCCUUCAUCUGCUUCUUGACCCACAGUCUGCCAGAAUAUAGCUUCUCUCUCAGUUUUCGUUGGAUGUCUUCCAGCCUUGCUGUAUUUUCCAUUUCACCUCCUUUAUGAAGUGUAACUAAGUACCUCUUGAGGACUACUCUAACAUGGUUGGUUUGUUUGAGUUGAUAAUUUCUGGAGUUAUACAGCUGGGCCCAUGUUUUUAAGUUUCCCAUUACUUUUUUUUUUUUGCCUUGGAAUGGUUCAAGGAAAUGCACACAAACUCAAAUCUGCAUGGAAGGCUUAACGAGAGAUGUUGACCUGUGUGUUUCUAGCCUGUUUCUACAAGAUUUGAAUUCUGUAUGGAACUUCCCUUACAUAUUCAAAGAUGAAAAUAAUGAACAGCUACUUUUUCAGCUAGAAAACAAUGCAUCUGAGCAGUUGUAGAACAUUGCAUUGACAAACUUUCCUCUUUUUGCUUGCCACAUUCUCUUUUUAUGAUGGAAUGAUCUUGAUCCCAAAAGUUAGCCCCUUCUGGCUUUUCAAGAUGUGGCUGUAAAAUGCGCAAGGCAUUGUGGAGCA